This is a long non-coding RNA of Aricia agestis (brown argus), 499 nucleotides long. RefSeq lists it as uncharacterized. The record is from RefSeq and is a predicted model, not a curated record. The transcript has 3 exons. NCBI's taxonomy places the organism in Eukaryota, Metazoa, Arthropoda, Insecta, Lepidoptera, Lycaenidae.
GAUGGAGGUUAUGUGGUUAUAAAAUAAUAUGGCGGAUGGCAUAUUACGUGGCAUUGUGUUGUAUCACAAACACGUGAUUCGUAAAACCUAAUAAUAUCCCAAUAUGUAUAUUGAAUUUGGAAACAGAAACAAUAUUAUUCUCUCCAAAUGCAAAUAAUCUUUUUGCUUAUAUCAGGUGUACACAAUUAAGCUCUCAAAUCAUAAAGCUUAGUACAUACUUGUAGCUUCAUCAAAAUACAUUUUGGUUCUUACACGUGGUGCACACAAUACAGCACUCCAGAUACCUAUUAAAAAUGGAAGUUAAAGAAGGAAAGCUAUCCAGUAUACAGGUCCACUUCAAUUCAAGUUACAGUCACACUUUUACAGAUUAAAAUAAUAAUGUCAUAACUACACAGUAUAGGGAGAUAAAGGUAUAAAAUUGUUAUUAAUUGAUUAAAAAUGUAAUAAAAUAAAAUUAUAAUGUCAGAUGAUAAGGUCAAGUUUUCAAAUUCCAUUUAUA